CCAAAGAUGCUCGUGUAGGUCUUCUGUUUAGUGGCAAUCAUACUACAAAUUUAUUUAGCCUCCUUUUUGUGAAGGUUUUUGAAAUUACUACAUCCUCAUAUAGCCAUAAAAAGAAUGCAUUAAACUUUUUGGAUCAGCUGUCCUCAGUCUAUCGGCAGAAAUACAUCCUUACAUCUCCUAUGGGUGUUGAUGGGACCCAAGCAUUUAUUGAUGAGAUCUACAAGCUUGCCGAGUCUAACGGGUUACCAUCUGAGAGCUUUAGAUCUUCCCUCUCAGAAUUUUCUGCUGAUGAAGUGAGAAGCCAUUUGAGUGAGGCAGAGAAGUUUUUGUCUACAACCCUUGGGUCUGAAUCUGGUGUCAAUGCUAUCUUUACUAAUGGAAGGGU
Lathyrus oleraceus (garden pea) is the source of this 385-nucleotide long non-coding RNA. RefSeq lists it as uncharacterized. The transcript is spliced from 3 exons. The record is from RefSeq and is a predicted model, not a curated record. NCBI's taxonomy places the organism in Eukaryota, Viridiplantae, Streptophyta, Magnoliopsida, Fabales, Fabaceae.